GAGGGUUAAAAGUGAGAAAGUGCAUUGCUCUGGCAAAAAUCAGGGUUUUCUGCUUGCUGUACCGGUACAGCCAUCACCUUGUACCGGUACAGCAUGGGCAGAUUCGUGGCAGCAGGGCUAAAUUGGUCAUUUCACAUCUUGAGCCUAUCUAUUUGAGCCCAGCACGUCUCUGGGAGCUUGCUGGAGUGUGCUAGAGCUCAGAAAAGGGUUUCUUCACCUUCUCCUCUUUCUCUCUCUAGGGUUUUUCUCUCUCUACAUAGAAUUCGACGAUUUCACUCAUUUUCGUCGCAACGUUGGUUCUUCGCUGUUCGCAAGUGUCGCAGAGCCUACGUGGACAUGUGAGGGAGUAUUUUGGAGAGCUUUUCGCAACUCUGGACCAGUAGUUCACUGGUUGGAAGCCUGAGGAGGUAAUCGACUUGAUUUUUUUCCAUUAUCAACGUUCUAUUAGUCGAUUUGAGUAUUGAUUUUGGUUUUGCUUCCCACUGAUGUAAACUGAGACUUCAGCUAUUAAAUAUGAGUUAAUUAGCUGUGAAUUAACCUUCUUAGCCCAGGGAUAAGCCACUUUGAAGCUUAAUUGGAAUAAUUAGCCAUUUAUGAAGCUAAUUUGGAAUUAAACGCGAGUUAUUACCACAACUUGAUACAGUUUGAGCUUUUCUCUUCGCAGCAGGUUUGCGAAUCAUAUUAAGCUAUUUUGGUGACCUGGGAGGCUGGUUUAGAAGGUGUUCUAACCUGAGGUAAGCAAGAAUUUCAGUUAGGAAGCUGAAAUUGCAAGAAUUCGACUAUGAUAGCUUAUAAUCGACUAUAUUGAUGCCGUUUCGAUAUUGUUCGCAGCGAGAGGGUAAUGGACCCUUGGACCGCCUUCGACUGACAUUGGAGGACCUUUUGGAAGCUUAACUUGAGGUAUUACACUAGCCCAAAAUAGGGAUUUAGGGGGUUACUUUGUACUAAGUGCAAAUUAGGCCGAAAUCGGAUAUUUCGGUCGUCAUUUUGACGCGGUGUUAAUGUUUGUGUUCAGCAGGAUUGGAGCCUUGUUGAGCUGACUGUUGGGACUUCUUGUGAGGAUUGGAGCCUAGUACUAGGUGGGUCAGACCUAACCAGAGCAAGUGGAGCUCCCCUAUGUUCUAUAUGUACUAUAGAAUUGGUGUUGUUGUGAGCUUUUGUGUUUGAUAUAGGACUUGAGAAGUAACAUUGAAUUGAAAUCUCUAUAAAGUAGAGAACACAUAUACAUGAAAGUAUUUAUAUUUAUAUUCAAUUCAGUUGAAUGACUUAUGAACAAGUGUAGGAUGCACUUAUAAAGUAGAGAACAAUGACAUUCUCUUGACUCUAAAGUAGAGAACUAUAACAUGCUUAUGAUUAUAUUGAUAGUGCCAUAAUAGUGGAAAGAUUAUAAUGCCAUGUGAUUUAGCAUUACUCUUACAUGUUUACAAUCUAGUGGAUACUAGUUACUAUUCGUAUAUUGAAAUUCCGAUCAAAGGAUCGAGGGUAAGAACAUUACAAAUGAAAACAUGAUAAUUGAGACCUGUGGACUGUGAAAUAUGCUUGCUUGCCAUCGUGCUCAUUCGCACACGCUUGUGAGGGUCGCUCCCUACAAGCCGGCACUCCGGAGUUGGCCUACGCGACAGUUGCUCGCUUGUGCGGGAUUCGGUGUCGAAGUGGAUUGCCGUGGGGAGUGUAUACUACCACGGGGCCAUUAGGCGCGGCGCAAGCUGGACUACCUUGGGUAGGUCCCUGUAAAUGAAAAAGAAAGUGCUAAAGGACAUUGGAUAGUAAUGAAUGAUCACCAGUCAUUGUGUAUAGUUUCUGCUUACACAUUCAUAUUUAUGUUCAUACUUACAGUAGCUGCUAUGCUUUAUUGUUCAAUUCAUUACUGUAGAAAGCUAUUACAUGUUGUUUACAUGCUUAUUAAUUGCUUCGCAUUGGAAAGGUAUCCUGCAAUUACAUGCUCAUUACUUGUUAGCAUCAUGCAAUUAUUGCUUUUACUUUCCAUUUAGUACAUCAUGAGCCUAGUGGUGUAAUUCGCCGAGGCUGGCGGCUUACCCACUGGGAACUAUUGUUAAUAGUUCUCACGCCCUUUUUAUGGUUGUUUUUACAGAGCCAUCUACAGGAGAGGCUAGGGAUCGUGGCAAGGGAGUCGCGUCUAGCUAGUCUUUGCUAGGAGCGUUCUAGUCGAUCACCUUGCUACUCGGGCUACGGCCGAGGGUGAUGUCCAUUGUAUAGAGUGACUACCAUUGUACAGAUGUUUUUGUGUACCCUGUGUUGUAUAUGAGUUGUAGAUCCAGAUGUUAUAGUUCAUACUUCUUCUCCUUCUACUGGGAUUUUGGAUUGUAUACUCUUUGUUCUUUUACUGAUAAUAUAUCGACUUGUACAUUACUCUGAUAUCAGGAUAGGACUCUCUUUGUUUUACUUCCUAUCGACUUGCUUUCUUCGUAGACGCCUUAUAUACUGCAGGUGUAUGGCGGGUCUGUGCACGUACCGGAUAUGCUUCCGCUGGUACCCGAGCGUGACAGAUUAUAGUGGUAUCAGAGCCUAGGGUUGAGUCUUAGUAGACUUAGCAAACCUUAGGUUGGUUGGACUAUAAGAUUAGGCUCGUGAGAGACGAGGUCUAGUUGACGUUGUGGUUAGCGAAAGUAUUUUGAUUGGGUAAUUUAUAAACUCCGAAUGGUAGGAGUUUGAUCGGAAUGUGCAAUUACUAACUUUACAGAGGGCCACGUUGGCGGCCGACAACGUGACAUCGGAAGUUAGUACGCGUUACAUUUCAUUACUUACGCUUAAUUAGUUGGUUUAUAUCCGCAAUAAGGAUUCAAUAGUAUAGGUUUUAUUGACCUAUGUUUGUUCCUGUGCUGCAGCUUAUGAUGCCUACGACUCGUUCUGGGACCGCCGCGGCGGCUGAGGCGGCCGCUGCGGAAGAAGUAGAGACUUCCGUCACUUCGGGGUCCAGUGAGGUCAGGGAGUUACAAGAACAGCUCGCAGUGUUGACUCAGCUAGUGACACAGCAGGCAUCGGCAGCGCGACAGCAGAUGGACGCUGCUCGUCGAUAGGAGGAUAGGAUGAAGAGGUUAGAGGUCUGUUACUGUGGCAGACGGCCGACAGAGAGAUUCUAGAUUCUAUACCUACAACGCCAGAGAGGGACACGACUGCGAGAGCACAGUCAUCUGUACCAGCUACACCCCCAGUAGCCCUGAGGGUAGAGCCCCGACAGGAGACAGUAGUGCCACCAGCAGCACCAGUGCCUGCAGCAGGGACAGUGUUACCUGAGAUGGUGGGGGUUGAGGAGCGAGAGCGGAUGAUGGAGCGACUAAAUGAAUUCCGUCGCUGCAACCCUCGUAUCUUUGAUGGGGAAAAAGCCGAUCAUUGGGUGGUUGAAAAAUAGUUAAUGCAUAUGGAGAAGCUAUUCUAUGAUACCUUUGUUGAGGAGCGGUACCGAGUCUGGUUUGCGACACACCACCUUGAUGGCGAGGCUUACAGAUGGUGGGUGGAUAUCCGUGAGGAUCCCCGCGCUGAUUUGUCGGCUAUCACCUGGACGCGGUUCAAGGAAUUACUGUUGACUACCUAUUUUCCUCAGAGUGUAAAGAGACAAAUGGAAAGGGAUUUGAGAAACCUGAGACAAGGGGACAGGACAGUGGCUGAGUACAAGCGAGAGUUCUCACGAUUACUGCACUGUGUUCCUUUUGUGGUUAGAGAUGAUGAGGACAAGGCUCGUAUCUUUGAGGUGGGUUUGCGGCCUGCGAUUUUCAGAUUAGUCCAGGCGUCAAACCUCUCGACUUACAGAGAUGUGGUGAACCGGGCCUUGAUUGUUGAGAAAGGGGCAGAAAUCAUGAAGGAAAGAGACGUUGGGGAUCGAAGCAAAGGAAAGAGACCUGCAGUUGAGAGCAGUGGUCAGCAGUCCUUUAGGAGACCACCAAAGUAUCCGAGGGGACAGUCAGGACAGUCGAGGGGUCAAGGUUCUUCAGCACCCCGUGGAGCACCCGAGCGUCGUCGACCGCUGCGUUGUGUUAUCUGUGGUGGGCUUCACGUACCGCCACAGUGUCCACAACGUGGGGGCAGGUGUUUUCUCUGUGGUCAGGAGGGCCACUUUCGCUCAGAGUGCCCGAGAGGGUCUUUGCCUGCACCCUCGUCAGCUUCUGCACCUGCAUCUUCAGCUCCGAGCCAGGGGAACCCGACAGCACCCUAUCAGUCUAGGCGACCACCAGGGCAGCGGCAGUCGGAGAGUUCGCAGCAGGGUUCGAGUGGGCGGAUGUAUGCCGCCCAGACUGAGGGCGCCGCAGUAGCACAGGAGGUCGUAGCAGGUAUUAUUUUGAUUCAUGAUAUUCGUGUUCGUGCAUUAUUUGAUACUGGUGCAUCACAUUCCUUUAUUGAUCGGCUAUUUGCCGAGUUGCAUAGCAUACAGUUAGUACCUUCCUUGCAUCCGGGACGAGUGAUCGUGCCCGACCAUACCCUGGAUAUUUGUGAGUAUUGCCCUCGCUGCCCAGUUAGGGUAGGCGACUGGAUUAUGCCAGUGGAUUUAUUAGCACUACACAAACUAGGUGAGUUUGAUGUAGUAUUGGGUAUGGAUUGGUUGACACAGUACUAUGCCACUAUUGAUUGCACGAACAGAACGGUGACCUUUAGGGAACCGGGUCAGCAAGAGUUUGUUUAUAAGGGGUGUCAGAGUUCAUUGUUCGCAAUGACUAUUAGCUCUUCGCGAGCCCGACAGUUGAUACGGAGAGGUUGUGUAGCCUAUUUGGCUAGCAUUUUGUGAGUGACGGAGAAGCCGUCAAGAUUGAUGAUAUCCCGGUUGUGCGAGAAUUCGGGGAUGUGUUUCCAGCUGAAUUGCCGGGCAUGCCACCUAAUAGGGAAGUUGAGUUUGUGAUUGAUCUUGUUCCUGAAACUACCCCUAUUUCUCAAGCGCCUUAUAGGAUGGCACCCGCUGAAUUGAAAGAGCUGAAGGCACAGUUACAAGAUCUGUUAGAUAAAGGAUUCAUUCGACCUAGUGUAUCGCCCUGGGGAGCACCGGUGUUAUUUGUCAAGAAAAAGGAUGGAUCUCUUCGAUUGUGCGUGGAUUAUCGAGAAAUCAACAAAGUCACAAUCAAGAAUAAAUAUCCAUUGCCCAGAAUUGAUGACUUAUUCGAUCAGCUGCAAGGAUCGAAAGUAUACUCCAAGAUUGAUUUGCAAUCUGGGUAUCAUCAGCUUAAGAUCAAGCCUGAAGACGUCUCUAAGACCGCCUUUAGGACACGGUAUGGACAUUAUGAAUUUACAGUCAUGCCAUUUGGAUUAACAAAUGCCCCAGCAGCCUUUAUGGAUUUAAUGAACCGUGUCUUUAAACCCUAUCAGGACAGGUUUGUGGUCGUGUUCAUCGAUGAUAUCUUGAUCUAUUCGCGAAGUGACAAGGAGCAUGAAAUCCAUCUAAGAGUGGUGUUGCAAGUACUUCGAGAGGAGAAACUGUUUGCAAAGUUAAAGAAAUGCGAAUUUUGGCUUCAAGAAGUGGGAUUUCUGGGCCAUAUGAUUUCUGAAAUUGGGAUAGCUGUGGAUCCCAAGAAGAUUGAAGCGAUUAAAGAUUGGCCUAGGCCGACCAGUGUCACAGAAAUUCGGAGUUUUCUUAGUUUUGCGGGAUACUACCGAAGAUUUGUAGAAGGAUUUGCGAAGAUGUCUACUCCUCUCACUCGACUCACACAUAAAGGAGCUAAGUUUCUGUGGAAUGAAGCCUGUGAAAGAAGCUUUCAAGAGUUGAAAGAACGGUUAACUACUGCCCCGAUCUUAGCACUGCCUGUUACUGGGGUAGAUUAUGUGAUUUACAGUGAUGCGUCGCUGAAUGGAUUAGGGUGUGUUCUAAUGCAGAGUGGCAGAGUAAUUGCCUAUGCCUCUCGCCAAUUGAAAGAUUAUGAAAAGAACUACCCUACACAUGAUCUUGAGUUAGCAGCUGUGGUAUUUGCUUUAAAGCUUUGGCGCCACUACCUCUACGGCGAGCGUUGCGAAGUUUAUACAGAUCAUAAAAGCUUAAAGUAUCUAUUUACACAGAAGGAAUUAAACUUGAGGCAACGUAGAUGGUUGGAGUUACUCAAGGAUUAUGAUUUGACCAUCCUCUAUCAUCCUGGAAAAGCUAAUGUCGUAGCAGAUGCUUUAAGUCGAAAAUCGACGGAAAAUUUGGCGAUGUCGAUAACUAUGCAACCACUGCUGGUCAAACAAAUGGAGCAGUUGAAUUUGGAAGUUGUAGCUCCCGAGACGCCUUGGAGACUUAUGUCAUUAGUGGUGCAGCCUACCCUGAUCGAUCGAAUUAAAGAAAAGCAAGCUCAAGACGAAUCUCUGCAAAAGAUUCGAGAUAAAAUCACUAUUGAUUAUGUUGGUGAUUUUCGAGUGGAUGAUCAGCGACUGUUGAAAUUCGGGGAUAGACUUUGUGUACCGGCAGAUUCUGGUAUUAAAGAAAAGAUUCUAACAGAAGCACAUCGGGCGCCGUAUACUGUACACCCUGGGAGUACGAAAAUGUAUAAAGAUCUGAAGUUAACUUACUGGUGGCCUGGAAUGAAAAAGGAAGUUGCUUACUUCGUGGCUAAAUGCUUAACCUGUCAGCAGAUUAAGGCUGAACAUCGACUUCCUGCAGGAAAACUACAGAGUUUACCCAUACCAGUGUGGAAGUGGAAGAGGAUCACUAUGGAUUUCAUCGUUGGAUUACCUCGCUCACAAGUAGGUCACGAUGCCAUUUGGGUAAUUGUGGAUAGAUUGACCAAAUCUGCCCACUUUAUCCCAAUUCAUACAGUUUGGUCGAGGGAGAGACUCGCACAACUGUACCUAGAUGAAAUUGUGCGAUUACAUGGUGUACCAGCUUCUAUUGUUUCAGAUCGAGACACCCGAUUCGUUUCACAUUUCUGGAGGAGUUUACAGGAAGCUUUGGGCACCUGAUUAGAUUUUAGUACUGCUUUCCACCCCCAGAGUGACGGGCAGUCUGAGCGUACCAUCCAGACCCUUGAGGAUAUGUUGCGGGCCUGUGUGAUUGAUUACCAGGGCAGUUGGCCACAGUUCUUGCCUAUGGCUGAAUUUGCUUAUAACAAUAGUUAUCAAGCAAGUAUUCAGAUGUCACCUUUUGAAGCCCUUUAUGGUAGAAAGUGCAGAUCACCACUUCAUUGGAGUGAAGUGGGUGAGAGAUUGGUUUUGGGUCCCGAUGUAUUACAAGAGGCUGAAGCUAAAGUUCGACUUGCGCGAGAACGUCUACUGACAGCCCAAAGUCGACAAAAGAGUUAUGCGGACAAACGUCGGCGAGAAUUGGAAUUUCAAGUUGGCGAUCAUGUAUUUCUGAAGGUUUCACCGACGAAAGGAGUUAAAAGAUUUGGUAUUCGAGGAAAGUUGAGUCCUCGAUUUAUUGGACCCUACGAGGUGUUGGAGCGGAUAGGCCCCGUAGCGUAUUGGCUUGCUUUGCCGCCGAACCUGUCAGGAGUGCAUAAUGUAUUUCAUGUAUCUACACUGCGGAAGUAUGUCUUUGAUCCGACCCACAUAUUGGACAGUACUCCAGUGGAUUUACGAAAGGAUUUGAGCUUUGAGGAGCAUCCAGUGAGAAUCCUAGCUCGGGAAGUGAAACGGCUUCGAAACGGCGAGAUCCCCUACGUAAAGAUCCUUUGGAGCAAUCAUGAUGAACGGGAAGCCACUUGGGAACUGGAGAGUGCGAUGUUAGAGCACUAUCCCUACCUUUUCUCAAUGGAAUCCUGACGUAAGUAAUGACAAGUUUCGCGGACGAAACUUCUUUUUAGGAGGGGUGAAUGUAAUACACUGAACUCUUGCAAAUUGCGGAGUUCGAGUGUGCGGGAUGAAGUGUGGAUCUAUCCUACAUGUUCUAAAUGACUUCGACAAGUUUUUUGAUCAAGUUAGAGAGUGAUUGGAGGGUUAAAUGUGAGAAAGUGCAUUGCUCUGGCAAAAAUCAGGGUUUUCUGCUUGCUGUAACGGUACAGCCAUCACCUUGUACCGGUACAGCAUGGGCAGAUUCGUGGCAGCAGGGCUAAAUUGGUCAUUUCACAUCUUGAGCCUAUCUAUUUGAACCCAGCACGUCUCUGGGAGCUUGCUGGAGUGUGCUAGAGCUCAGAAAAGGGUUUCUUCACCUUCUCCUCUUUCUCUCUCUAGGGUUUUUCUCUCUCUACAUAGAAUUCGACGAUUUCGCUCGUUUUCGUCGCAAUGUUGGUUCUUCGCUGUUCGCAAGUGUCGCGGAGCCUACGUGGACG
RNAcentral lists this long non-coding RNA (8180 nucleotides) under Ananas comosus (pineapple). Its description in RNAcentral is "long non-coding RNA (ACOM_LNC038935)". Lineage: Eukaryota; Viridiplantae; Streptophyta; Magnoliopsida; Poales; Bromeliaceae. The record is from RNAcentral.